AGCACAAAAUAGAAUUUCAAGAAUCCUGACAUCAAAUAUUAUAGUUCGUUUCUGUUCCGUUUGCUUUCAGGGACUCAGAAAAGAACAAAGUCUCAAGAAAAUGAGCUUGAGAGCGCCAAGGGAAAAAAUAGUUCUUUUUUGGAUUUUGUUUGGUAUCAAAGUACUCAAGAUGAGAUAGAAAGGAUCACAAAUCGAGUUCUUUUUUGGGCUUUCUUUUGUUUCAGAAACUCAAAAACUUGAAAAGAAGAAAAACCCAAAAAGGAAUUCCAACUAAACAAGGUCCGAGUCAUCAGAAAUCGAUUUAUUGUUGGGUGUUGUUUUGGUUACAGGAACGCAGAACCGGUGAUACAUCCAUCGAGUAUAAGCGAGAAUAGGAAAGUCAGCUUCGCCAGAGAUGGAAGAUCGGUGCUACGUGGCGAUAAGGUCAAUGGGGUUCGAUGACAAUGCGAAGAUGAAAGAGAGGAUACAGCGGUUAUCUGGCCAAAGCUAUUUAUUUCACUAUCAAAGCAAAGAAAAGGAAGAGGAUUUCAUGGUGAUGAAGGAGUGUAAGCUUCCUCAGAGAUCCAAGAAGAGGGCCAAAUAUAUACAGAGGAUCAAACUCGCAUCUCCAGCGAAGACAAUCUUCUUCCGGCGACCGGCGAUAGAGGUUUAGUGUUUCUCUCCCUGCGGUGGUUUCUCUGCAACUGAAACCCGAAAAGGCAAAGGCAUCACUGGCGAAGGCAAAUUUCUUCCGGCGACCGGCGACAGAGGUUUAGUGUUUCUCUCCCUGCGGUGGUUCAUCUGCAACUGAAACCCCAAAAGGCAAAAGGCAUCAACGGCUUCAUCUGCAACUUUGUGCUUCUACAGCUUCACCUGCAACGGCUUUCAUCUGCGGUGGUUUUAAGGCAUCAAUGGCUUGUGAAAUACAUAGGCUCCAAAAACUACCAAGUUCCAUAAGGCAAAGCUGCAGUUGAGCUUGUUUCGGGAGCUUCACCUGGGAUACAAACAGCAAUAGAGCUCAAUAAGGGUACGACCUAUAACUUGGAAUUUGUACUUGGAGAUGCAAACGGCUCUUGUGUGGGAGAUUUCAUUGUGAGGGCGCAAGCAGGAUCUACAUCAAUGAACUUUAUGAUGCAGGCCAACGGAACCGGCUUGGCCCAAAGCUUCCUCAUGACUUUCAACGCAGAUUCAGCUCUUACAAACAUCACCUUCGUUAGCCUAACCACGGGUCAGACAAGAGAUUGUGUUUUGUGAUCCUGUGAUCGAUAACGUGGUACUCCAUGCUUCAUUUGGGCUCAAACCACAAAUGCAGAGUUGGGUGCUGUUUUUAUGCUUGGUUUUCUCGUAGAUGUUGUAUAGAUUAUUGAGAAAUAGAGCCAAAUAUGAAUCUGUUUUACCACUUAUUAUCAUAUUUUACUGUUAUUUUUUUU
Nelumbo nucifera (sacred lotus) is the source of this 1409-nucleotide long non-coding RNA. RefSeq lists it as uncharacterized. The record is from RefSeq and is a predicted model, not a curated record. NCBI's taxonomy places the organism in Eukaryota, Viridiplantae, Streptophyta, Magnoliopsida, Proteales, Nelumbonaceae.